UGAGGAAUAUUGGACAAUGGUUGCAAGCCUGAUCCAGCCAUGCCGCGUGCAGGAAGAAGCAUCUAUGGUGUGUAAACUGCUUUUGUACGGGAAGAAACACUCCUUCGUGAAGGAGCUUGACGGUACCGUAAGAAUAAGGAUCGGCUAACUCCGUGCCAGCAGCCGCGGCAAUACGGAGGAUCCAAGCGUUAUCCGGAAUCAUUGGGUUUAAAGGGUCCGUAGGCGGUUUAGUAAGUCAGUGGUGAAAGCCCAUCGCUCAACGAUGGAACGGCCAUUGAUACUGCUAGACUUGAAUUAUUAGGAAGUAACUAGAAUAUGUAGUGUAGCGGUGAAAUGCUUAGAUAUUACAUGGAAUACCAAUUGCGAAGGCAGGUCACUACUUGUGGAUUGACGCUGAUGGACGAAAGCGUGGGGAGCGAACA
Molecule: ribosomal RNA, 422 nt
Filed under: uncultured bacterium
Lineage: Bacteria
Description: bacterial SSU rRNA
Rfam family: Bacterial small subunit ribosomal RNA
Source: RNAcentral